UGGAGAGCCAUGAUCGCCCAAGCGUGUAACACACAAGGCACAUCAUGAAGAAGAAGAAGAAGUUAAAUGAGAAGCAUGUCAAGGAGAGACACAUGCAGGUUAUUCUGGAGCAGUGCUUAUUGCUGAAUCGUGGAUUCGAGUUCUGUGUGAACCACCGUAUUGUGAGCUCAAGUCCCGAAGAAAACAACCCAAGUUUGACCAUAAUGCUCUCUUAUCCAAGCAAAAUCAUCUGAACACAAGAGAUUCUGAAGAUGCUGGAAAUCCUGAACAACGAACCCAAAAAAUGCCGGAGAAACUUAACAGAUCAGGCAGCAAAGUUCAAAAUGCCGAUUAACCUGCUGAUUGCUGCCCAGCAUUUCUUUGUUGUGCAGUGAAGAGCAAAUGAACAUCUGAGGUGGCCUGGUGGAAUCAAGUAUGAAAAGUUCUGUUUUGGGAUGCCAGAUAUGAAAGUGUUUAAUUCUGGCAUUUGAAAAUGAGUCCAAGCAAUAAAAUUCCUCACAAUCAGACAAGGAAAAUGGAAAA
This is a long non-coding RNA of Mobula hypostoma (lesser devil ray), 522 nucleotides long. RefSeq lists it as uncharacterized. The record is from RefSeq and is a predicted model, not a curated record. The transcript has 4 exons. Lineage: Eukaryota; Metazoa; Chordata; Chondrichthyes; Myliobatiformes; Myliobatidae.